UGUACAGCGGUGAACUAUGAGUGCUAAGAAAGACUGGAGAACACCAGACUGAUAUUUCUGAUUCAUAUCAUCUUCAUUAGCUGCCCCAAAUCAAGGGACAGGACGUGGUCAGAAAUGAGGAUAUUUGAAGGCAACCUAGCAACUACCUCCAUCAGCACUGGUUCAAUUUUGGUAGCUUUCUUGGUAUGGAGGUAUUAUUAGGAUGGAAAACUGAUGAAUUCCAAGCAUGUGUAACAACGAAUGGCUCUUCAUGGCUGGUGCUUACGUGGGCAUCAAGAAGCUUCAGUGGCAGGACUAGAUUGCCAGAUGGAUGUGAAGUGAAUACUCAACCAAGCCACGCCACCUUAAGCAUCUUGCCGGAGUUCAAUCCAGGUGGUGUUCAAUUUGUAAGGAGGUCCCUUUCCUUUGGGAUUUGCCACAGCAAUGAUGGAAAAUGUAUGAGAUGCCCUGUUCCAUAGGUUAAAUUAUUCAAUAUUACAAGGGUUGAGUGGGUUGGGCUACAAAAUCCUGAACACAGAGGGAGGUUUGAAGGAGCAUUUGAAGAAAAAGAAAGGAAGCUUGGUGGUCUAUGACAGGAAGACUAUUCCAGGCAGCCAUGAUUCAAUGUGUACAGUCUAACUCGAAAUACCAGUUCCUGUGAUGAUAAUUCCGUUUGUAAUUGUUGGAUGUAAUGGCAGAUACAGGUCCAGAGAGCAGUGGGAGCAGCUGCUGCGACAUCCCAAAGGGAAGCAGCUCGCAAUGUAAGGAAAAAAGAGUAUUGGAGCAGAGAUAUGUUUUACAGACCUCAGAGAAGGCUUUUGCCAUUUACUCUCUGGACGGGAAGAGACUUUAAAGUAACCCAGCCGGAGGGCCAAGUCACAAGAAGAGGCAGACCGCUGGAGUGCCCUUCAGCAGGUGGUACCAGACAAGGAGAGAGCUGCUAUGCCAUGCCUGCCCACAAGGAGGCACUCUAGUGCUGCCAGAUGGUGUGGAGCAGAUGAUUGUUCCUCCUCGGAGUGGCUGAAUUUUAAACAGUUGAGCAUAGCAGUCUGCCUGGUAUUUUGCCUUUUUUAAGCUUGGCGAAAAGCAUUGGCUGCCCAUUUGAACCUAGUGCAGAACAAACACAACCUGUUAUUCAACAUUUUCCCAUUCUGAUCUUUGUUCAUGGCUGCCAACAUUGUUGCAAGUGGAGAGGAGCUUUUGUUUUUUCAAAACUGAAGAAAAUUACCAUCUAGUUCCCUGAAAAUUAAUUUAAAAAGAAACACCUGGGAGGAAAGCUGUAGUGAAUAGUUCAGUAAACAAAACCAAACAGCAAGUGCUCUCUCCAGUAGUGAAACAGAAUGACACUGAGCUGUGGGGCUUGCCUCGGCCUCCAGUUACACCAGUAUAAUUCUGUUGGGUUCAGUUGAGUUACAUGCUAUAAAACUAGUAUGAGAGCAGACUCAAGCCCAGGCUGUUAACAUGGUGCCUCCCAAUUGCUGUGUCACCGGGGUUGUUUAUACAAGGAAAUUACAUCGUGGUUGUUGCCACGACUCCUGAGGGUGCUGUUCCAGCAUGGUAUAAUCUUCCAGUAUCAACAAGCCCAUGCUUCAGAGUUGUAGGUAGCCAACAAACAGGAGGAUUAAUAUCAGCUUUUUGUGAUAUUGCAGAAGUGCCCCGUGCCUGGAUUGGGGCCCAAUUGUGCUAGGUAGAUCUUGUCCCUUCCCUGAAGUGCCUAUUGUCUAAUUUAAGACAAGAUACAACAAGUGAGCAUAAGGCCUCUACACACCGUUGCACCAGUUAAACUAAAAGGUGUGAUUUUUAAAUUGAUUUAGUUAAAUCAGUCCACACAAACCACUUUUAGAGCAUCCACGCUAGGAGGGUUGUACCUAUUUAGUUAAACUCAUGAAACUUGUGUGUGUAGAAAGAGCAAUCAAGUGGAGGGAGGAAGGACAGAACACUCAGGGCUGGUCUCCACUGGGAACUUACAUUGGCGUAGCUUCAUGUCUCUGGGGUGUGAAAAAUCCACAGCCCUGAGAGAGACAGCUACAGCCACCUAACCCCUGGGUGUAGACAGCACUAAGUUGACAAAAGUAUUCUUCUGGCAGCCUAGCUGCUGCCUCUCGGAGGUGGAUUGCCUAUGCUGAGAGAAGAACU
Molecule: long non-coding RNA, 2115 nt
Organism: Mauremys reevesii (Reeves's turtle)
Lineage: Eukaryota; Metazoa; Chordata; Testudines; Geoemydidae
Exons: 6
Source: RefSeq, a predicted model, not a curated record